This is a non-coding RNA of Acanthosepion pharaonis, 101 nucleotides long. NCBI's taxonomy places the organism in Eukaryota, Metazoa, Mollusca, Cephalopoda, Sepiida, Sepiidae. The record is from the annotation of a GenBank genome assembly.
AUUGAAACACCGGUUCUCGUCCGAUCAUCGAAGUUAAGCAAUGUCGAACGUCUGGUCAGUAUCAAGAUGGGUGACCGCUGGUGAAUAGCCGGUGCUGUAAG